This 246-nucleotide ribosomal RNA is filed under the name uncultured bacterium. RNAcentral's name for it is "partial 16S ribosomal RNA". It matches the Rfam family "Bacterial small subunit ribosomal RNA", at positions 796 to 1041 of the family's 1533-position model. The record is from RNAcentral.
CACGCCGUAAACGAUGUCAACUAGCCGUUGGGAGCCUUGAGCUCUUAGUGGCGCAGCUAACGCAUUAAGUUGACCGCCUGGGGAGUACGGCCGCAAGGUUAAAACUCAAAUGAAUUGACGGGGGCCCGCACAAGCGGUGGAGUAUGUGGUUUAAUUCGACGCAACGCGAAGAACCUUACCAAGGCUUGACAUUGAGUGAAAGGCUAAGAGAUUAGCCCCUCUCUUCGGAGACACGAAAACAGGUGG